RNAcentral lists this small nuclear RNA (57 nucleotides) under Sciurus vulgaris (Eurasian red squirrel). Lineage: Eukaryota; Metazoa; Chordata; Mammalia; Rodentia; Sciuridae. The record is from RNAcentral.
GUGCUCGCUUCGGCAGCACAUAUACUAAAACUGGAACAAUACAGAGAAGAUUAGCAU